Molecule: ribosomal RNA, 460 nt
Filed under: uncultured bacterium
Lineage: Bacteria
Description: partial 16S ribosomal RNA
Rfam family: Bacterial small subunit ribosomal RNA
Source: RNAcentral
CCUACGGGAGGCUGCAGUGAGGAAUAUUGGUCAAUGGACGAGAGUCUGAACCAGCCAAGUAGCGUGAAGGAUGACUGCCCUAUGGGUUGUAAACUUCUUUUAUAUGGGAAUAAAAUGUUCCACGUGUGGGAUUUUGUAUGUACCAUAUGAAUAAGGAUCGGCUAACUCCGUGCCAGCAGCCGCGGUAAUACGGAGGAUCCGAGCGUUAUCCGGAUUUAUUGGGUUUAAAGGGUGCGUAGGCGGGCAUUUAAGCCGGCGGUCAAAGGUCGGGGCUCAACCCCGGACUGCCGGCGGAACUGGGUGCCGUGAGUGGGCGAGAAGUAUGCGGAAUGCGUGGUGUAGCGGUGAAAUGCAUAGAUAUCACGCAGAACCCCGAUUGCGAAGGCAGCAUACCGGCGCCCUACUGACGCUGAGGCACGAAAGUGCGGGUAUCGAACAGGAUUAGAUACCCUGGUUAGUC